GAUCCUGGCUCAGGAUGAACGCUGGCGGCGUGCUUAACACAUGCAAGUCGAACGAAGCGCCUUGGACAGAUUCUUCGGAUGAAGUCUUUGGUGACUGAGUGGCGGACGGGUGAGUAACGCGUGGGUAACCUGCCUCAUACAGGGGGAUAACAGUUGGAAACGACUGCUAAUACCGCAUAAGCGCACAGGAUCGCAUGAUCCGGUGUGAAAAACUCCGGUGGUAUGAGAUGGACCCG
Molecule: ribosomal RNA, 236 nt
Filed under: uncultured bacterium
Lineage: Bacteria
Description: partial 16S ribosomal RNA
Rfam family: Bacterial small subunit ribosomal RNA
Source: RNAcentral